Molecule: ribosomal RNA, 482 nt
Filed under: uncultured bacterium
Lineage: Bacteria
Description: bacterial SSU rRNA
Rfam family: Bacterial small subunit ribosomal RNA
Source: RNAcentral
UUGAACGCUGGCGGCAUGCCUUACACAUGCAAGUCGAACGGCAGCACGGGGGCAACCCUGGUGGCGAGUGGCGAACGGGUGAGUAAUGCAUCGGAACGUGCCCUGAAGUGGGGGAUAACGUAGCGAAAGUUACGCUAAUACCGCAUAUUCUGUGAGCAGGAAAGCAGGGGAUCGCAAGACCUUGCGCUUUAGGAGCGGCCGAUGUCGGAUUAGCUAGUUGGCGAGGUAAAGGCUCACCAAGGCGACGAUCUGUAGCUGGUCUGAGAGGACGACCAGCCACACUGGAACUGAGACACGGUCCAGACUCCUACGGGAGGCAGCAGUGGGGAAUUUUGGACAAUGGGCGCAAGCCUGAUCCAGCAAUGCCGCGUGCAGGAUGAAGGCCUUCGGGUUGUAAACUGCUUUUGUACGGAACGAAACGGCUCUUUUUAAUACAGAGGGCUAAUGACGGUACCGUAAGAAUAAGCACCGGCUAACUACGU